UCUUGGAUAGUGCAGUGGUUAGCAUGCGCGUCCAGAAAGGGUGAGACGCGGGCUCAACUCCCGUGCGAGGCUUAAGAA
Non-coding RNA from Parelaphostrongylus tenuis, 78 nucleotides. The record is from the annotation of a GenBank genome assembly. Lineage: Eukaryota; Metazoa; Nematoda; Chromadorea; Rhabditida; Metastrongylidae.